GGGCGUGCCGGGGGCCGGAAGCAGAGGGCGCAGGGCUCCAGGCGCCUGGGUUUCGGGCCUAACGGGCGGUGGAGAUCAGCUGGGCCCGAAAGAGGCGGGGCCAGAAAACCUGAGUCUGCAGAAACGGGGUGUGCGCGCCAACGCGCUGGGCGCGGGGACUGGGCCGCACCCGGCGCUCCCUGCCCUGCGGACUCCGGCUGGAGCUUGAUUUGCAGUUUGCUAGACGCCACCAUUAAGAGAUUGCCAGACAGCAAAGAAUAGAAAGAGUGGCGCUUUUAACUUUUGUUUUGGUUGGUUGAAUUUUUUUUUUCCCUCUCGGCUGGCAUUAACAGCGGUGAACCAGCCGGCUUAUACCAAGACUCUCCGAAUUCCCUUCGAUUCGAAGGUCAGCGUCUCCUGAGUUAGACGUCGAAUCUGAGAAUGGUGGUGUACCACAGAGCUCGAAAGUGAGCCCGAAAGUUGGCCGGUCACUAAGACAAACGCUCUGGCUUCACGCUGCAGUUCUAAAAUGCCGCCUUUAACUGUGAAGUACUUUUUAACUGUGAGGGAAAAAUAGAAUACGGAAAAAAAAAGGACUGAACCCGUGCCUCGGACCAGGGUCUAGUAGGCUGAAGGUACCUAAAAGAUUAAGUGUCCCGGCGGGGGAGGCUUGAUUAUCAAGUUAGUCAAGUAAACGUUGGGUUUCUUCUUUAGGUUAGCGCACCGAGCAGAAUAGAAACGUGGACGUGACUUGUAGGUCACUGAGAAGUGACCUCAGCCAUCCAGGAAAAAACCAGCCAGCGAGCUUUCUUGGACUGUAAACAAUUGCACUUAACUCCGUUUGUCCUUGAGUGCAGAGGACAUUUCAGCUUAGCAAACUCUAGACUUUAUGAUGGGACCCUGAGCCGUGCAACAGAGGGAUAAGGCAGCUUCUCGUUUUAGGAACUUACCUGAUGUGGACCCCUCUACAUUAGUCUCAUCUGAAGAUCCGUCCUCCUAACCCAGCACUCACACAUUUGCAGCUCCAGGAUGUGCCCUUCUCUCAAAACUGUGCCUUAGCUGUGCCCUGUGACUACACACCUUUCUUUCACUUCUGGCCAGCACCUCCUGAGGUAACUAACCAGCUCUGCGGACGAUAAGCUAUCUGAGUUCAGAGCCCAGCUUGUAGGUUACCUUAAGCCUCUGGUGACUAUACACUGUAUGUAUGAUUUAUUUAUCUACCCUACCUACUAGGUUUUAGGGCAAGCAUGCUUUUAAAAACUCGUCAUCUCGUGGUUGGCAUAGUACCCAGCACGUAACUUACGUAAGUACUCGUCUUUACAAAACUAGUGGAAUGCAGCAGGUACUAUGUUCGGUAUCACAUAAUGUCUCAUUUCAUCUCUAUAACAAUCACAUGGCCGGGCGCGGUGGCUCAUGCCUGUCAUCCCAGCACUUUGGGAGGCCGAGGUGGGUGUAUCACCUGAAGUCAAGAGUUUGAGAUCAGCCUGGCCAACAUGAUGAAACCCUGUCUCUACUAAAAAUGCAAAAAUUAGCCAGAUUACAGGGUGGUUACUCACCCCUGUAAUCCCAGCUACUUGAGAGGCUGAGUGGGAGAAUUGCUUGAACCCAUGAGGCGGAGGCUGCAGUAAGCCGAGAUCACGCCACUGCACUCCAGCUUGGGUGACAGAGCAAGACCCUGUCUCAAAAAACAAAAACAAAACAAAAAACCAGUCACAUGAGGAAGCGUUAUGAUAAGACACAACAUGAGUUUCAAGGGCCUCCCACCUCAGCCUCCCAAGAAUCAAGUUUUUAAUAUGCUUUCCAUAAUAUCCUACAACCUGUUAGUAGCCUAAAAUAUAUAUUUUGGUAAUGGCAUGGCUCACCCAUUUACCUGUUGGACUUAGGCAGAAAUGUGUGAUUCCAUGAAGGUCUGAUAAAUGGUCCAAAUGAUAUCCAUUUGCUGUAUUCCACUAAUAGCUGUGUAUAAUUUACUUUUCCCUUGCUGAAAAUGUAUACAAACUAUCAAUGUGUGGGUGUGUUCUUGAGGGUCUAUUAGCCCAGCCAUAAAUGGUAAUUGUUACGAUUUCAGUUAUUAUAGAUGGCGUAAUUCAGGCUCACGGAGAGUAAGUAUGAAAUUACUAGCUAAUAAUUAGAAGAACUAAAUUUCUAACCAAAUUCUCUGAGUCUUCCAGCCACCGAGGAAAGGGAGAAUAGAGCACCAAAGUAAAAGAACAUGGCAAAUGUAUUUUCCUGUUGUUCCUAUGUUAUCUUUUAAUCCAA
This 2238-nucleotide long non-coding RNA is filed under the name Homo sapiens (human). Its description in RNAcentral is "non-protein coding lnc-PPIC-5:1". The record is from RNAcentral. Lineage: Eukaryota; Metazoa; Chordata; Mammalia; Primates; Hominidae.